This is a long non-coding RNA of Oncorhynchus kisutch (coho salmon), 237 nucleotides long. RefSeq lists it as uncharacterized. The record is from RefSeq and is a predicted model, not a curated record. NCBI's taxonomy places the organism in Eukaryota, Metazoa, Chordata, Actinopteri, Salmoniformes, Salmonidae. The transcript is spliced from 3 exons.
GCUGUUAUAUCCUGUGAACUCUGCCCCUCUCAUCUAUUUUCUCUCCUCCCCAGUUAGAACAACAGUGAGACUGACUAAUACAGGCAGCAGCACUGGAGAGCCAUGCAGGCAAAGUUAAGACAGGGCCUGUGAACAACAGUGAGACUGACUACCAAAGAAGGCAGCACUGGACAGCUAUUCAGGCGAAGGAAGGCCAUAAAGAUCAUCGAGGACAACAACCACCCGAGCCACUGCCUG